UUUUUUUUUUCUUUGGUUAAUAAUGUAAGAAAUCAAUGGAUUAUAGGCGACUUAGUGCAGUUUAUGCAGUCUGUGAUGGAGGAUACAUUCAGCACUAGAGAAUUAAUGACGGAAAUUGCGAUGAUGACGAUUGUAGCUUUUCGCGAAUGACGCAUCGUGUUAUCGCAUCCUUCACGACUAAAUAACAUGAUCACGAUAUUUGCUUUACAUACAUCUAUUAGUAAUAAAGUCAUAAAACUUGACUGUUGGAAUUUCCUAUUUUCUAACAAUUUAUAGUCUUCAUAUUUCGUAGUGGCACUCAGAAUUACGAGUGUUUGGAGACGGAGGAAAAAAAUUGUUAUAAAGGAAUUGGGUCAACGCAUUGUGGACAGAGGCCAUGAUCGCAAUUCCGGAUUGAAUCUAGUUAAAAGACCAUCACCAGCAAUUCAACAUGGAUUAUAAGAACCUUUGGAUGGGAAAACAUCAUAAAA
Galleria mellonella (greater wax moth) is the source of this 470-nucleotide long non-coding RNA. RefSeq lists it as uncharacterized. The record is from RefSeq and is a predicted model, not a curated record. Lineage: Eukaryota; Metazoa; Arthropoda; Insecta; Lepidoptera; Pyralidae. The transcript has 3 exons.